UUGGAAUACCAUAACACCCUGAACAUGUUUGGUCUUGUUUGAUUUCAGAAGCUAAGCAGCAUUGGACCUGGUAAAGUCUUGGAUGAGAAACCAACGAAGAAUACUGGGGAUCUCUUAAG
RNAcentral lists this ribosomal RNA (119 nucleotides) under Pogona vitticeps (central bearded dragon). Lineage: Eukaryota; Metazoa; Chordata; Lepidosauria; Squamata; Agamidae. The record is from RNAcentral.